Long non-coding RNA from Mustela erminea (ermine), 1339 nucleotides. RefSeq lists it as uncharacterized. The transcript is spliced from 2 exons. The record is from RefSeq and is a predicted model, not a curated record. NCBI's taxonomy places the organism in Eukaryota, Metazoa, Chordata, Mammalia, Carnivora, Mustelidae.
CUGCAUUUCGGAUUCCCUCAAAGCCAGCAGGACCACUGCAUGAAGGAGGUGACGGAACACAGAUGGCGUCAGACAUGUGCCAAACGUCCCCUGCGGAAGGUGAUUAUAACAACAAAUGCACGUGGAGAAAACCUCUAUUUUGUCUUGCAGCUCAGAAUAGGAUUUUUCAUUUUCUUGAGGAAUUGGACCCUUUGCUGUGAUGAAAGGUCCCUGUUUAUCCCUGAUAAUAUUUUAUCCCUGAUAAUAUUCCUUCUUGUGGAAUCUACCUUGUCUGCUUUUAAAGAGCUGUUCUAGUAGCCUCCAAGUUGGUUUCCAAGGAUCCCCACCACCAGUAUAGACACUCUUUAUGGUCCUCUCUCCCACUGUACCACAGUGGGUCUGUGUGGCUAAUAAAAUAUGGGAGAAGUAAAGUUAUUUCCCUUCUGGGGUUACAUGACAAAAGUCUGUGACUUCUGUCCGAGCCGUCUCUCUUACUUUCUCUCAGAACACCUCCUCUGAGGGAAGUCAGGACAGGAGCAGCCCUGUGGAGAAUCCAAGCAGCGAGGUGCGGAAGCCUUCUUCCAGUCACCAGUGUUUUUGAAGGUCCUGAGAAUGCCCCCAAGUUUGAUGAUUGGCCAGAAGGACUCACAAGACUGAAGAGAAGGUUAUAGAUAACUAAGUAAAGCAGCAGGGAAGAGAUUUUCACUGGGCAGAGUUCAGACACAGUCAGAAUGGGCUUUGGAACCUUUCAUCAGAGGCCACACAUGACGUGCUUUCUCUCCAUCAGCAACUGAUAAGAACAUGCAUGGUAUGUGUCUACACAGGGAAUCCUGCUGGAGCCUCGGGGUCCAAAGUUUUUCUGGUGUGCUGGUCACAUGAGCAUAUCUUGCUGUGCAACCAGCUGUGGCAACUGAAACUCAAGACCUCCACAGUGAAACUAGGUGCACAACUUAAUUUUGAUAUUUGUGCAGAGAAACUUGACAAGCUAGUCCAGUCCUGCCCAUUUUUCCACGUAUACGCAAAUAAAAUCGUCAUCUGACACCUAAGGGCCUGUAUCCCCAGUGGUUGGCCAAGGGUCAUUCAUGGUUCCAGAUUCUUCUGGAGAUAUGCAAGGAAUAAACAACUAGAGCAGUUUUGUUAACCCUUUCCUUUCCACUAAGGUGGCCCACAUCAGUUAGCAUCAACUUCUAAAUAUUUUGACGAAUGAGUCUUCAGAAAAUUCUAGCCUCUAGACUCCAAAUCUUCCAGCUUAGGCCCCCAAAAUUGUGAAGCAGAAACAAGCAUUCCCCUCUGUGCUCUUGCAGAAUUCCUGAUUCACAAAAAAUUAUAACAAGUAAUAAAUGACUAUUGUUUGAAACCA